Engraulis encrasicolus (European anchovy) is the source of this 773-nucleotide long non-coding RNA. RefSeq lists it as uncharacterized. The transcript is spliced from 3 exons. NCBI's taxonomy places the organism in Eukaryota, Metazoa, Chordata, Actinopteri, Clupeiformes, Engraulidae. The record is from RefSeq and is a predicted model, not a curated record.
CUCCGUGAUUGGUCAAACGCCCACCGCGUGCUCUACGGGCAUGCGCAGUUCUCUCACUUACAUCCGCAACAAACCAAGCAUGGUUAGUGUUAUUGCAAGUUUGAUUAAUGUUUCGUCUCGUAAAUAGCCGUAUUUACUCCUCAUUUUUGGACAACAAUGACAAGGACAAAGGCGACUGGGAGUCUGAUGAUGACUGGGAUGCCUUUGAUGAUGAAAAAGACGAUCGAGUGCACGAACUGGGAACAGAUUCAGCAGUGGAGAAGACCAAUGCGAUUUUUACCGCGGACGUAUCUCCCAAUUCUGGCUAUGAAAAGACCAAUAAUCUUUGCAUCAGCAAGGAAAGACUAACAGGCUUACUGAAAUGGUACUCCAAUGGGACAGGACAGGAGGGAGAAAGAGAUCCCUUCAGCUGGACAACAUCAAAGGAGAGGUGACAUUCAUCCAACAACAAGGUUCACAAAAUGCCCUAGUGCUCACUGGACAUGUCCCUGGAUUUAAACGUGAUGAUCUACAGCCCCUGCCUUCAGUUCACACUGCCACCAAGGUCAACCAAAGCUACAAAGAUGUUCUUCUUGGGACAGAGAAGAACUAUUGGACCAUCAAGCACCAACAAGAGUGGAGACUUGAAGAAAGCGACGCAUAUCUGAAUCUUACACUGACUCUGAGAGUGCCCAUAGACAGGUUGUGGGCGUGGAGAUGAACUUUUAAAUCUGUAAAUAUGUGGCAAGUACACAAGAGAAUACGUGAGUAAUGUGUGUGUGUGUGUGUGUGUG